GACAGAGGGUGCAAACGUUGUUCGGAAUUACUGGGCGUAAAGGGCGCGUAGGCGGUUGGAUAAGUCAGCUGUGAAAACCACGGGCUUAACUCGUGGCCUGCAGUUGAUACUGUCGGGCUAGAGUCCGGAAGAGGCGAGUGGAAUUCCCGGUGUAGCGGUGAAAUGCGCAGAUAUCGGGAGGAACACCAAUGGCGAAGGCAGCUCGCUGGGACGGUACUGACGCUGAGACGCGAAAGCGUGGGGAGCAAACAGG
This 253-nucleotide ribosomal RNA is filed under the name uncultured bacterium. Its description in RNAcentral is "partial 16S ribosomal RNA". It matches the Rfam family "Bacterial small subunit ribosomal RNA", at positions 524 to 776 of the family's 1533-position model. The record is from RNAcentral.